This is a long non-coding RNA of Carlito syrichta (Philippine tarsier), 711 nucleotides long. RefSeq lists it as uncharacterized. The record is from RefSeq and is a predicted model, not a curated record. The transcript has 3 exons. NCBI's taxonomy places the organism in Eukaryota, Metazoa, Chordata, Mammalia, Primates, Tarsiidae.
UCAUCUUGCUGAGAAACACACCCAGCGUAGAGGUCUUGAACUGCUAGAAGCUUACCCAGUGCUUACUCAGCUCUGUUUCGCUCAUUUGAGUCUUACUGCUAACAAGUAUAAAAUCAGAAUCAUACAAGACUCUGGAGUCACCUGUGUCCAAGCUGCCAGUGUCCCUUAUUCCUCCUGGGCACAAGAUAAGAACCCUGACCUGAAGAUCGUAGCUGAAGAGCCGUGCACUCCAGAGACUGCCUUGCCAGCGAUAGAACCUGCAGAGCUGGGAGAGCUGCUGGAAGAAGAGUGUAAAGGGGAAUACCAGAAGAUCCAGCUACACUAUAUAAUUUGACUCUAAGCUUUUUGAAUACAGAAUAUAUAUUUUCUUUUUCAGUGGGUCCAUCAUUGGACCAAGAGACUAUCUUGAACUUAACUUGUACUUAGCAGAUGUGCUUGUUCACUGAUUCUUCCUGGAAACACACAGAGAUUACUAUGGUACCUGCCAAGAAGGAGCAAAAUAACCUGAGUGGACUUUUCUGGAAGCACAAAAUGGAUAGAGGUACAAUGUGGAUCUAAAUACAUGUACCUGUGGGAUUUAUUUUUCAGAUAACUUUGAGGAUGCAUGUUCUGACUAAAAUUGGCCCUUGCCUUUUAGGAGCUUCUGCAUUGGGAUAUUUAUUGUUUUUACAAUCUUGACAAAGUACAAUAAAGGUAAGAAAUUAUAGACAA